This 109-nucleotide transfer RNA is filed under the name Colletotrichum orbiculare MAFF 240422. Its description in RNAcentral is "tRNA-Met for anticodon CAU". It matches the Rfam family "tRNA". Rfam says of the family: Transfer RNA (tRNA) molecules are approximately 80 nucleotides in length. Lineage: Eukaryota; Fungi; Ascomycota; Sordariomycetes; Glomerellales; Glomerellaceae. The record is from Rfam by way of RNAcentral.
GUCUUCGUGGCUCAGUCGGUAGAGCGUUGGUCUCAUAGCACAUGUUACUAUGACUCUAUCCACAGAUAGAGAUAUCCAAAGGUCGAGAGUUCGAGCCUCUCCGAGGACA